Molecule: long non-coding RNA, 402 nt
Organism: Neofelis nebulosa (Clouded leopard)
Lineage: Eukaryota; Metazoa; Chordata; Mammalia; Carnivora; Felidae
Exons: 2
Source: RefSeq, a predicted model, not a curated record
AGGUUCCACAGGUGCAGCACGUACUCCCGCGGCCCCUCCUCCCAGAUUUCCUUGCAUUCGGACCAAAUCAUUCCUGCGGGAGAGUGAGAAGCGAAUGUUCUUUAGGCAGAGAGAUUUGUAAUGUGCCCACCUAGGAGGCAGGAGAUCUGGAAUUUGAAUCUGGAAGGCCUGUCCCUAAAGUCUGUGCCUUGACCACUGUGUUAUUCUGCCUCUUCAGAACUAAAAAAUGGAUUCAGAGCCAGGACUGUGUGGAAAAGACUCUUGAAUAUUUUGUAAGUGACAUUAAGGAGUUUUAUAGCCGCUCAAACCUGGGAAAGACUUGACAUCGUACCAGUCCAUUCUAUGUACUACACUUGGCCUGCAUACUUAGGAGGUUAAUGUAGUAAAAGAAUUGCUAAGUGG